CCAGAGUUACUUGUGCCAGCAUCAAAUGUCCCAAUCCCGGCUAAUAAAACAGAAUGUACAUCAGCUCCUAGUUAUUCUUGGGAACCAAACGAAGGAAAUUAAUGGAAUUGGUUCUUGUCAAAACGAUUCAACAUAUCAUAUAUUUUGACGACAUUUGUAUCUGACUCGUUUGCUUGAAAGCUGUUCCCAGUGCCGUCGAAGCAAAGGACAAGCCGGCGAGGUACAUCACUUCGAUUCUCACGAUUUGUGCUAAACGGAAUCAUAAUUGAAAUUGGUUAUGAGGGGAAACGACAAGGGAAACUCGACUAACAGUGAAUGAAACGAAAAUAGUGAAUGGAAAUUUGAGC
This 347-nucleotide small RNA is filed under the name Histoplasma ohiense. Its description in RNAcentral is "hypothetical lncRNA". Lineage: Eukaryota; Fungi; Ascomycota; Eurotiomycetes; Onygenales; Ajellomycetaceae. The record is from RNAcentral.